AUUGAACGCUGGCGGCAUGCUUUACACAUGCAAGUCGAACGGCAGCGCGGGCUUCGGCCUGGCGGCGAGUGGCGAACGGGUGAGUAAUACAUCGGAACGUGCCCAGUAGUGGGGGAUAGCUCGGCGAAAGCCGGAUUAAUACCGCAUACGACCUGAGGGUGAAAGCGGGGGAUCUUCGGACCUCGCGCUAUUGGAGCGGCCGAUGGCCGAUUAGCUAGUUGGUGGGGUAAAGGCCUACCAAGGCGACGAUCUGUAGCUGGUCUGAGAGGACGACCAGCCACACUGGGACUGAGACACGGCCCAGACUCCUACGGGAGGCAGCAGUGGGGAAUUUUGGACAAUGGGCGAAAGCCUGAUCCAGCAAUGCCGCGUGUGUGAUGAAGACCUUCGGGUUGUAAAGCACUUUUGGCGGGAACGAAAAGGACUGUGCCAAUACCACGGUUCGAUGACGGUACCAGCAGAAUAAGCACCGGCUAACUACGUG
RNAcentral lists this ribosomal RNA (484 nucleotides) under uncultured bacterium. Its description in RNAcentral is "partial 16S ribosomal RNA". It matches the Rfam family "Bacterial small subunit ribosomal RNA", at positions 29 to 507 of the family's 1533-position model. The record is from RNAcentral.